AUUGAACGCUGGCGGAAUGCUUUACACAUGCAAGUCGAGCGGCAGCGCGGGGCAACCUGGCGGCGAGCGGCGAACGGGUGAGUAAUGCAUCGGAACAUGUCCAUGUCGUGGGGGAUAGCCCGGCGAAAGCCGGAUUAAUACCGCAUACGCCCGAGAGGGGAAAGUGGGGGACCGCAAGGCCUCACGCGAUUGGGUUGGCCGAUGUCCGAUUAGCUAGUUGGCGGGGUAAGAGCCCACCAAGGCGAUGAUCGGUAGCUGGUCUGAGAGGAUGAUCAGCCACACUGGGACUGAGACACGGCCCAGACUCCUACGGGAGGCAGCAGUGGGGAAUUUUGGACAAUGGGGGCAACCCUGAUCCAGCCAUUCCGCGUGAGUGAAGAAGGCCU
This 386-nucleotide ribosomal RNA is filed under the name uncultured bacterium. Its description in RNAcentral is "bacterial SSU rRNA". It matches the Rfam family "Bacterial small subunit ribosomal RNA", at positions 29 to 417 of the family's 1533-position model. The record is from RNAcentral.